This 1391-nucleotide long non-coding RNA is filed under the name Lonchura striata (white-rumped munia). RNAcentral's name for it is "domestica (Bengalese finch) lncRNA (ENSLSDG00000014788.1)". The record is from RNAcentral. Lineage: Eukaryota; Metazoa; Chordata; Aves; Passeriformes; Estrildidae.
CCGGCCGAGCCCUGCGCCGCCCGGCUCCCGGCGGUGCCGCCGCCGUGAUUCAGCGGCGCUGCCUGAUCGGCCGGAGGAGGAGAUACGCGCUGGCAGGAAACAUCUGUCACCCGCCGGUGCGCCCUGUGCCUCCCCUUCCACCUGCGUGGAACCGCAGGGGUUAACAUCUGCGUUGUGAAAACUUCGCAUCUCUGACUUCUGAUUAAUCAUGCCUAAACAAUUUGAUGAAGUGCAGGCACUCAGGUUCAUGGAGAUGCUACUUGAGAGAUCUUCUGCUCUGCCUGGCCUGGAUGAAGAAGUGUCUGAUGGCAGAAGCAUCACGGGUUGCUGGAGUGAAAGCCUGCUAGCUGAGCAAAGCCCAGUUUGGACACACGCCCAGUGGCAUGAGGCACUGAGGGAAGAUUACUCCCACUCGUUUGUUGGGCAAGAGCUUGUGGCCUUCAGAUCCCAGUGCUGUGUGCUGUAGUGAUUCCAGAGGAGAAACAAAGCUCAGCUCUUCUCAGAAAAAAGGAAAAAUGUAGGAAGGGAGGACUAGAGGACUAGAGGAUUCUGUGUCAAGAAUGUACAGAACUCAUGUUUGGAGCCUGUAUACCUGCAGUCCUUGUCACACUGCUUGUGAUCCUCCCAGUGCUGCCUUCACCCACGAGUAUGGGAUUCCUAUGCUGCAGACAGAUGGAUUUUUCUCUGAAAUAUUAUAUUUUGAAAUUAUUCCAUGGGCUUUAAGGAGAUCCUCAUAAGCACCUCUGCAGAGUAACUACUCGCUGAGUAGCCUGAGGGCUCCUUGCAGAGCAGGCAUGUUUCUAAGCUCUGGAAGAGAGCUCAAGCUCCCCAGGGACCAUACCAAGGGAAUUUAUUUGGCUGUCACCAUGUGCCUGACUAGACACGGCCUUAGGUACUCUCCUGUGAGUAAGCAGCCUUGAUCUCUACCUUUGGUCUUAGUGAUUGAUGGCAUUAAGUUAUAGGAUGAGCCUAUCUCCUCAGUGACAGAUUGAUUUGGCACACCCUGACAAUCUUUUUCUCAUGCACUUUUGUCAAGGAGAAGAGCCAUCCUUUGAGCACCUUUUGGGCUAUAAAUCUCUCAUUGGUGAGGCAGCAGAAGCCUCACCAUCACCUGGGCUUUCAGCUCAAAACAGUUCCUUGACACCCCUGUGCCAAAGCCAGGGGGGAACAGUCCCACUGUCCCUGCCCAGGCUGCAUCAGAGAUUCGAUAAGUGGUGAUACCUUCCCUUUGUGAUCACCUCAUCCCAGCAUUGUGCCUCCAGCAGCACCCUCUCUGUUCUGAAGCAGCACUCCUGGCUCGCCAGGCAACCAACCUCAGCUUUCCAGCAGCUAGAUCAAGAGCAGAGAGAAGCAACAAAUUCAAGUAAUAAAUAACUGGGGAAAACCGAGCA